UUGAAGUCUUAUCGGGCUGGUUUUUGGUUUUGUGCUCAAACUUGAACACUAGAAGGAAGAUCAUGUGUUUGUGCUCAGUAGGACAUUUGGGUGGGGCUGCAGCUUAACUUUUAUAUUCCUAACUGGUUAUCAUCUUACACUGAAUUUCAGAGCAUGUAAUGGACUGACACAGUAAUGUAACAACACUGGCUACUGGGAGGCUGUUAGCACCCAUCCUAGCUAAUGCUAAUAACAUUCAUGACCUCAGGCAAGAUGAAGAGGAAGCAUGGGCUUGCUGGCAGGUAUUUUCCCACACAGGUGACUUUGAUAAGAUAAGGUAACUCUUUAUUAUCAUUGCACAGUCAUAAAUAGUAUAAUGAAACUGGAAAACUGUCCCAUGUCAGCACUAUGUACAACACGACACGGUAACUUAACUUGGCUGCAACUCCCCUGAAGUCUUCACCUGUAGGCAUGACUACUACAUUCACAAGAGUAUGUGUUGUUAUUGUUGCAGUGGAAGCAGGUGAACUUGGAAUUUAGGUGAAAGUUGAGGUAAAGAUGGCAGCAGCUGUGACUGCAGGCUAAAGCAGUAACUUGGCUCAUGUUGUCCUUUCAUAAGGCACUGAGUCAUCUUUUGAGCUUUGUGUUGCUCAGAGUCAUCUGAUGCUCAGGGGCAGCAGGUGGGAGGCGAGGGACUUGAAUUAAAGGCACGUGCAUUUUUUUUUUUUUUUUAAAUCUUUGUGAGAACAGUUGUUGGUAUAAUGUAUUCAUUAACCCCUCUAAUCCCAGCCUAAACCAGACUCUAUUAUGAAUCCUGAAACCGAGACCAAACUCGCAAAAAAGCGCUUUGAAGAUUUGAAGUCAGCACAGUCCAGACCCAUUCUUCUCUUUAAGAGGUUCAAGAUGAUACUUGUCCACAUAAGCAUACAAAACACACAAAAAGACAGGUGAGUUUGUCCACUUGUAAGGAACUUAGUCACUGUUACAUAAAACCUUGAAGCUGUGACAGCGGUGAGUCACGCUGACCCAAAUACUGAAGGAGGCAAACUCUGCUCAGUGAGUCAAAGCCCACAUCACAGUGACAGUGCACAAAUCUCUGUGUUACACCAGUGUUGCAGCAGAUGGAGUUUCUCUCUGUACCAGCAGAGGAUGCAAGAGACCAAAACAGUAUAAAGCCUUUACAUGCACCUCUGAGAGUAAACAUGCUUAAGUCUUAUUCUUUUUUCCUGUAAUUCCACCUCCGAUUCUUUGCGUUUGUCCUGUUUCACACUGUCCAACUCUGUUCUGAAUACCACAAUACUGAAAAUAAACUUAAGGUAUUAUAUAUGUUAAAAUAUACUCCUAAUGAUUAAACUACAUUUUAAUAGUGAGACAGUCUGUGAGCAGCACUUUAGAUCCUGUAAGUAAAAGUUAAAGCCACCCUGGUACCUCGUAUAUCCCACAGUAUUUAAUAUACUGUAUAUAACAUGAUCCUCCCAUCC
Astatotilapia calliptera (eastern happy) is the source of this 1460-nucleotide long non-coding RNA. The record is from Ensembl. Lineage: Eukaryota; Metazoa; Chordata; Actinopteri; Cichliformes; Cichlidae.